UUCAGCUUUGGCUGGGGGAAGGGUCGAAGGGUCACAGGGUCACAGAGCUCAGAGCCUCUUCCUAAACACAGCUCAAGUUGGCCCAUGAGUGUGUGUGUGUGUGUGCAUGUGUGUGUGUUACACACAGCCAGGGGCACAUUGGAGCACAAAGAACUGUGAUCAACAGGUAAACUACACCUAAAAGGAACGCCAGGCUUGAUGGGCAAAGGGGAGCCAAGGUAGGUCCCUCUGCAGGUUCCCGACAGGGGAGAGGAUGGACAGUAGGGAGAGCACAUUUUGCUACAGUUAAGUCGAGUUGAACAUGCCAGCCAGGGGUAGGGGUAGCCAGCAGGUGGAAUCUGAACGCUCACCCUCUGCCUUGCAGUGGGGCAGAAAAAAGUCAAUGUGUAGGGGUGAUGGUAAAAGCUGGGCAAAUGGAAGACACUGCUGAGGGAGAGAAGCCAAGGAAGGAAGGAGGGGGUCAGGAGUGAGGGGACUCCACUCCAGGGUCCCAGGAGGGGGACUUUUAGAAGGCUGUGGCCAACCCAUCCCAGAGCAGAGAUGCUUCUCCCACUGUCUGCUUAUCCCCAGGGUAUGCUGGAACAGGGGUUCAGGGCAGGAAACUCCCCCGGGAGGGAGACCUGAGGCUUGGAAGCACGCAGAAAGGCUUGGCUCUAAACCCAAUCCACACCGCUCCGCAGAAGAGAGCUCUGAAACGGGAGGCAGUAGGCCAAGGGACACCCAGGGGAAGGGAGUCCCCCAUCCUCAGUUCCUACGAAGACCACGGCCUGGGCCUUUUAUUCAGACCCUGCUAGGCCCAGGAGCCCAGCA
Molecule: long non-coding RNA, 810 nt
Filed under: Homo sapiens (human)
Lineage: Eukaryota; Metazoa; Chordata; Mammalia; Primates; Hominidae
Description: non-protein coding lnc-ACAN-2:1
Source: RNAcentral